UGGGGAAUAUUGCGCAAUGGGGGGAACCCUGACGCAUCCAUGCCGCGUGAAUGAAGAAGGCCUUAGGGUUGUAAAGUUCUUUCGGUAUUGAGGAAGGUUGAUGUGUUAAUAGCACAUCAAAUUGACGUUAAAUACAGAAGAAGCACCGGCUAACUCCGUGCCAUCAGCCGCGGUAAUACGGAGGGUGCGAGCGUUAAUCGGAAUAACUGGGCGUAAAGGGCACGCAGGCGGUUAUUUAAGUGAGGUGUGAAAGCCCCGGGCUUAACCUGGGAAUUGCAUUUCAGACUGGGUAACUAGAGUACUUUAGGGAGGGGUAGAAUUCCACGUGUAGCGGUGAAAUGCGUAGAGAUGUGGAGGAAUACCGAAGGCGAAGGCAGCCCCUUGGGAAUGUACUGACGCUCAUGUGCGAAAGCGUGGGGAGCAAACAGGAUUAGAUACCCUGGUAGUCCACGCUGUAAACGCUGUCGAUUUGGGGGUUGGGGUUUAACUCUGGCGCCCGUAGCUAACGUGAUAAAUCGACCGCCUGGGGAGUACGGCCGCAAGGUUA
This 547-nucleotide ribosomal RNA is filed under the name uncultured bacterium. RNAcentral's name for it is "bacterial SSU rRNA". It matches the Rfam family "Bacterial small subunit ribosomal RNA", at positions 355 to 896 of the family's 1533-position model. The record is from RNAcentral.